GAACGGCAGCACGGGAGCAAUCCUGGUGGCGAGUGGCGAACGGGUGAGUAAUACAUCGGAACGUGUCCUGUAGUGGGGGAUAGCCCGGCGAAAGCCGGAUUAAUACCGCAUACGAUCUACGGAUGAAAGCGGGGGACCUUCGGGCCUCGCGCUAUAGGGGCGGCCGAUGGCGGAUUAGCUAGUUGGUGGGGUAAAGGCCUACCAAGGCGACGAUCCGUAGCUGGUCUGAGAGGACGAUCAGCCACACUGGGACUGAGACACGGCCCAGACUCCUACGGGAGGUAGCAGUGGGGAAUUUUGGACAAUGGGCGAAAGCCUGAUCCAGCAAUGCCGCGUGUGUGAAGAAGGCCUUCGGGUUGUAAAGCACUUUUGUCCGGAAAGAAAACGUUCUAGCUAAUAUCUGGAGCGGAUGACGGUACCGGAAGAAUAAGCACCGGCUAACUACGUG
Molecule: ribosomal RNA, 448 nt
Filed under: uncultured bacterium
Lineage: Bacteria
Description: bacterial SSU rRNA
Rfam family: Bacterial small subunit ribosomal RNA
Source: RNAcentral